RNA transcript from Xiphophorus couchianus (Monterrey platyfish), 2905 nucleotides. It is a transcript of the gene named Fc receptor-like protein 5, with no coding region annotated. Lineage: Eukaryota; Metazoa; Chordata; Actinopteri; Cyprinodontiformes; Poeciliidae. The record is from RefSeq and is a predicted model, not a curated record. The transcript is spliced from 11 exons.
UUGUCACACAUCACCCACGUAAUUUAUUUGUUUAUCUGUCGUAAUUUUAGUAUAGAUUUUAUUUUACUUGUCAUCUCUAAACUGUGAUUUUUUUAGUAUUGUACACUUUUAAUUUUCAGUGACACAAAUAGACACAAUUUUCAAACAUAUUUCUGAAGGUCUUUCAUUUUCUGAAAAGAAAAAGAAAAUACUGUAGGUGCAAAAUAUAUAUUUAUACAUGACUUAAUGUGAUUGUACUAUUUUUAUUUUAUUUUUGUUAAUAUUUUAGCAUGUGCUCUAUUUUGGCUCCCAUGCAGACUAUAAACUUUACAAUAUAAAAAACAUAUAACUUAUGAACAAUAAAAGGCAUACUAAUUCUGUCUUUGUUUCUGUUUCAGAUCGCUGAAAUCACAGUAUAAAAACAUCCAAGAAGAUCCUGAUUCAUGCUAAUUAUUAUUUAUUUAUGAAGUAACCAACUUUCUGUUUUCAAUAAUCUGAUAUAUUUUAUAAAAUGUUCUAAGAGUGAGCUAUUCCUGUAUAAAGAGUGAUAAAAUGUGUUGAACCACUUCUGUACUUUGUCAUUUUGCAAAUAAAUUCUAAAGAUGUAAACGUGUGUUUUCAUCGAUUAAGUGAAAGAAAACAAUGUUUCCUUGCUUCUCUGUGAGUCUAAGUUUGACUCGGUGAACUGCAGCAGGACGGUUUUAUUUCUCCCAGCUGAAGUGACGCUGAAGCUCGGGAGGCGUUGGCCUGCAGCUCUAUCAGUCGCUUGCACGUUUCUCUGACUGUCUGUAAGGCCAUCAGACGCACACUUUCACCCACCCAGUUACAACUGCCACUUAUUCCCUCCGAUUUUACACCAUUCAAAGCCUCCCGCUGCACAAACGACUUCAACAUGUUUGCUUCUGUGUUUUUGGUCGUCCUGGGAUUGUGCUGCUGCACAAAAGACAGCAAUCAGUUCCAACUGGACCAGCCACGACUCCACGGCCCCUCGCAAGCUUUGGUAGACGAUGUCAUUCCCUUGGUGUGUGAAAUUCCCAGUUCAGAAAGUAAUGAACCGAUUCUUCUGACAUUAUACAGGAAGGAUGACCGUAAACAAAUGUUUGGAGAGUACACCCUCUCAGCCGGGGAGGAGAUGGGAAUCUUUCCCCAGCUUAUCAAAGUUGAGCAUGAGGGCUACUUCGAGUGUGUGGCCAGCGCACAAAACAACACGGAGAUAAACGAGACUGUCAGCGAAGCACACUUCUUAAGGGUUAUUGUGCCAGUCGUCGACGCUGCGAUUGUUUACACAGGUCCAACAGAGAUCUAUGAGGAAACCAAGAUAGAGCUGCAAUGCAAAGUUAAAUCUGGAAAUCAUGUUUCCUACAACUGGUUUCUCAAUGGGUGCCUCGUCUCUCCGUCUCCUGUCCGCUGGAUUGGAGACAACCGGUUAAUAAUCACCAGAGUGUCCUCUAAAGAUGGCGGCUCCUACAUGUGUCAGGCUAAAAACGUCUUCAACGAAACGAGAUGGUUCGCCUCCAACAGCUCCGACCUCGUUAUCGCAGUGAAAGAUCUGGUGUCGACCCCGGACAUCUCAUUCACCGUGGUGAAGGAGGAUCAUGGCAACUAUUCAGCCAGCAUCACCUGCCAGUCUGAGAGAGGCGAUCCACCGAUAAGCUUCUCGCUCUACAUGGGCAUGGAGCUGAUGGUCAGGAAGAACGUUUCAGAGAGACACGCCACGUUCAGUCUUCCAGUGGUCCUGGACCAGCACUCUGGAUGGCUGCAGUGUCUGGCCAGGAACGGGAACCAGACUGAAUACAGUCGAUGGUUGCCUCUUGAAGUUGUGUCAGUCGCUGGCCCAGUGACGGUCCAAUCUGAAUACGACAUGGGAAAUAACUAUGCCGUCAUUGGCCUCAGGCUCUACUGCAAGGCGGCAGCGGGAACUCACCCACGUUUCCAGUGGUACCUCAACCAAAUGCCUCUACGUGAGCAGGGAAGCUUCUUCUAUGUGGUGGAUCUGCCAGAACAGUCCGUCCUGCUGCUGGCCGUGGGGAGACGGAGCUCUGGAAAGUACCGCUGCGAAGUGUGGAACAGCUUCGACAACAGCACGGUCAUAAGCAGCAAAGGGCUUUAUGUGGACAAAGAAGUGCUGAAUCGCCUUCCAACCUUAGUGGUGGCUGUGGUCUUCAGCUGUUUCACGCUCCUGAUUUUCCUGGUGUUGUUUUGUUGUCUGUCAGGAGUCAUCUUCAGGUGGAAACUGUCUCAACAGAAGUCAGAGUGAGUGUUUGGUUUUUUUUUCCAUUUAUUGGAAAACAAAAUAAUCCAAAAUGUUUGGGGAAAAGAUAAUGAAUGACAUCAUAGACUUAAAGUGAAAAUUAAAAUGUCUCUAUUCCAGUUUUCUAUAAGCGUCACAGCUGCUUUUAAAAGAAUAGAUUACAGUUUGUGAAGCGAGGUUCUGUUAAAAUAAUAUUACCCAUAGAUUCGUCUCUUGCCGUCUUCAUGUGGGUUAAAUCCAGCUCCCACAAAAUUCAUUCAGAACUUCCCUCAUUAGUUUUGACCAUAAUUCAGUACAAGAAUAAAGUGAUGGAGAGUUAGGAUUACUAAUUGCCAGAAUAUUUUUUGUUAUGAACCUAAAGAUGAAAUCAAAAGAAGGUGACUGAACCUAGUAAGAGUGUUGUUACUUAUUAGCCACAGUGUAGCAAGUCCUGUACUAACAUGGGCUGAAAGGCCAUUUAAUGAGGAAAAUGCCAUUAGUCCACAAGCAGAAUAAAAAAAAAACAAGGUUACAAUUGCAAAAGGACUCAGGGAUAAAUCUUUUGCUUUUUGCAAACGUGUCUUGUGAUCUAGUGAAAUAGAAACUAAUCUAAAAUUUUCGCAAACAGACGUAGAUUCGCAAUCUUGACUGACCUAAAACAGCGAGGUGUUUAGUCUGAUUUGAUGUCAGAUUUAA